UAAAAUUUUUCAAAAUUAUAAUUUUAUCUAUUAAUUUUAACGUUUUUAAAAAAUUACUGUUUGCCCCCUAAAAUUUUUAAAUUUAAAAUUUUACCCAUAAACUUUGGUGUACUUUUUAAAAAAACUACUAUUUGCCCCUCUAAUAUUUUUAUUUCUGUUUUGGCCUUGCAUUUCUAUAUAAAUUUCAUUCAUAUUUUUAUAUUAUUUAAUAUUUGAUCUCUUAAUAUUAUAUAUUUUUAUUUUAAUCCCUAUAUUUUUAUCAAUAUUUCAUUUAGUUUCAUUUUAAUA
Molecule: unclassified non-coding RNA, 288 nt
Filed under: Hevea brasiliensis (rubber tree)
Lineage: Eukaryota; Viridiplantae; Streptophyta; Magnoliopsida; Malpighiales; Euphorbiaceae
Source: RNAcentral